This 636-nucleotide long non-coding RNA is filed under the name Phoenix dactylifera (date palm). Its description in RNAcentral is "long non-coding RNA (PDAC_LNC007944)". Lineage: Eukaryota; Viridiplantae; Streptophyta; Magnoliopsida; Arecales; Arecaceae. The record is from RNAcentral.
AGAAGGCCGAGCACAGCAGGCCGAGCACAGAAGGCUAAGACCAGCAGGACGAGACCAGAAGGCUGAGCUGACCUCAGAAGGCCGACCUCGUCGUCUAUAUGCUGCGGCCAUGCUCUGCAGCAGCCUUACCGCACCAUGUUUUACUUGCCGGCCACGCCACGACAUAUUAAUCAGGAACCAUACUCUGCUACGACUGUCAACGCCUCAUCAUUCCCAAGAAUGUACUGCACUGCGCGCCUCAAGCAAGCUCUGGCUGCACGCCAUCUCCUCCCAUGAUGGGAACGGGCCAUCCACGGCAACUCAUUACUUCCACGCCCACAUCCAAUCGUGACGGUAACCCAUUAAUUCGCCCAGUCAUAUCACAGUUCUCCACGGCAAAUCAGCACGGCAGUGUUCAAUCAACCGGGACAAUUCUCUGACUCCGACGUGGUCUCCCACUACAGCAUUAAUUCGCCUGAUCGUGCGGCAUGCUCAAACUGUACGACGACCUCGCUCCAUCAUCUCACAGGUAAUCCAGCACCUCUCUAUAAAAGGAGAACCACUCCAUUUUAGAGGGGGGGGCUGGCUGGUAGGCAGACAAAAAGACUCUGAUUCAUACUAUUUCCUCCAAGAACACAUUGGCCCCCUCUGACUUAG